AACGCGAAGAACCUUACCAGGGUUUGACAUGCGCGCGACUCCCCCAGCGAUGGGGGUCCCUUCGGGGCGCGCGCACAGGUGCUGCAUGGCUGUCGUCAGCUCGUGCCGUGAGGUGUUGGGUUAAGUCCCGCAACGAGCGCAACCCUUACUCGUAGUUGCUACCCGCAAGGGAGAACUCUACGAGGACUGCUCCGGAUAACGGAGAGGAAGGUGGGGAUGACGUCAAGUCAGCACGGCCUUUAUGUCCAGGGCUACACACGUGUUACAAUGCAUGGUACAGACUGUUGCGAACCCGCGAGGGGGAGCUAAUCGGACAAAACCAUGCUCAGUUCGGAUUGCAGUCUGCAACUCGGCUGCAUGAAGCUGGAAUCGCUAGUAAUGGCGUAUCAGAUCGACGCCGUGAAUACGUUCCCGGGCCUUGUACACACCGCUCGUC
RNAcentral lists this ribosomal RNA (436 nucleotides) under uncultured bacterium. RNAcentral's name for it is "bacterial SSU rRNA". It matches the Rfam family "Bacterial small subunit ribosomal RNA", at positions 958 to 1398 of the family's 1533-position model. The record is from RNAcentral.